This is a long non-coding RNA of Piliocolobus tephrosceles (Ugandan red Colobus), 664 nucleotides long. RefSeq lists it as uncharacterized. NCBI's taxonomy places the organism in Eukaryota, Metazoa, Chordata, Mammalia, Primates, Cercopithecidae. The transcript is spliced from 3 exons. The record is from RefSeq and is a predicted model, not a curated record.
GAACAGGGGGAGACUUGAAUCCCAGAGAAAACCUAACAAAACAGAAAUGACUCUUGAUGAACCUCUUGCUCUGGACUGGUGCCCUAGAAGUGAAUGAAAUUGUUUUAAAGAUUACCAAGAAGAUAUAACAUAUAUCAAAUGCAGCAUUAAUAUAAGAAUCCCCUGAAAACAUGCUGGUAUUUGAAAAUUCUGCAUUCCAAUGAAGGGUGUGCACAUGGAGGAUCCUGAUGGUACCUGACUCUGUGCAGAUGCAACAGCCCAAACUCUGUCUCUGACCCUACUUCUAUCAUACGCCCAGCGGAUCCCUUGCAACUAUAUGAUUCCUCUGUUAGCAGUUGGUGAUAAUGGUGCCAGAGAGGGCAGAAUUGUUUCAGAAUUCACAGAGAGGAUGGCAUGUUAAAAUUAGAAUAAAUAUUCUAGAUCAAGACCCUUAUUCAGUAAAUGAGGACAACGAAAGCAGAGAAGCAGUGUGCCCGACCCAGGUCUGGCUUACUGAAAUUCCUGGCUGAUGUCUCUGUGUCCCCUAUUACUGCCUACCCCUCCCACCUCCUGAGAAUGUUUAGUCAUGACAACCAGAAGUGAUUUGUUAAUCAGGGGACCCACUUUGGUGAAAGGAGAUGAUUCUGUAUCAUUAACUGAUUAAAUAAAACAAAUUCCAGUAUAA